RNAcentral lists this transfer RNA (55 nucleotides) under Cancer pagurus (edible crab). RNAcentral's name for it is "tRNA-Phe". Lineage: Eukaryota; Metazoa; Arthropoda; Malacostraca; Decapoda; Cancridae. The record is from RNAcentral.
UUUGAGAUAAUUUUGAAAUAGUUUUAUUAAAAUUAAAACUUUUAAAAAUUUAAAG